UACGUAGGGCGCAAGCGUUGUCCGGAAUUAUUGGGCGUAAAGAGCUCGUAGGCGGCCUGUUACGUCUGCUGUGAAAUCCCGGGGCUUAACCCCGGGCGUGCAGUGGAUACGGGCAGGCUGGAGGCAGGCAGGGGAGAACGGAAUUCCCGGUGUAGCGGUGAAAUGCGCAGAUAUCGGGAGGAACACCAGUAGCGAAGGCGGCACUCUGGGCCGUGACUGACGCUGAGGAGCGAAAGCGUGGGUAGCAAACAGG
This 253-nucleotide ribosomal RNA is filed under the name uncultured bacterium. RNAcentral's name for it is "partial 16S ribosomal RNA". It matches the Rfam family "Bacterial small subunit ribosomal RNA", at positions 524 to 776 of the family's 1533-position model. The record is from RNAcentral.